UCAAGUGAAUAAGUGCAUGUGGUGGAUGCCUUGGCGAUUACAGGCGAUGAAGGACGUUGUAGCCUGCGAAAAGCCGCGGGGAGCUGGCAAACAAGCUUUGAUCCGCGGAUGUCCGAAUGGGGAAACCCACCCGCAAGGGUAUCGCUGACUGAAUCCAUAGGUCAGCGAGGCGAACGUGGCGAACUGAAACAUCUAAGUAGCCACAGGAAAAGAAAUCAACCGAGAUUCCGAAAGUAGUGGCGAGCGAAAUCGGAGCAGCCUGUGCGUGAUAGUCGAUUGGCUAGUGGAACGGUAUGGAAAGGCCGGCCAUAGAGGGUGAUAGCCCCUUACACGAAAGCGAAUCGGUGGUACUGAGCGUACGACAAGUAGGGCGGGACACGUGUAAUCCUGUCUGAAGAUGGGGGGACCAUCCUCCAAGGCUAAAUACUCGUAAUCGACCGAUAGUGAACAAGUACUGUGAAGGAAAGGCGAAAAGAACCCCGGGAGGGGAGUGAAAUAGAUCCUGAAACCGCAUGCAUACAAACAGUCGGAGCCUCGCAAGGGGUGACGGCGUACCUUUUGUAUAAUGGGUCAGCGACUUACGUUCAGUGGCAAGCUUAACCAGAUAGGGGAGGCGCAGGGAAACCGAGUCCGAAUAGGGCGCCAUAGUCGCUGGGCGUAGACCCGAAACCAGGUGAUCUAUCCAUGGUCAGGAUGAAGGUUGGGUAACACCAGCUGGAGGUCCGAACCGACUAAUGUUGCAAAAUUAGCGGAUGAACUGUGGAUAGGGGUGAAAGGCUAAUCAAACCUGGAAAUAGCUGGUUCUCCCCGAAAACUAUUUAGGUAGUGCGUCAUGUAUUGCUCCAGGGGGUAGAGCACUGUAAUGGUUGUGGGGGCCAUCGCGGCUUACCACGCCAUAGCAAACUCCGAAUACCUGGAAGUAUGAGCAUGGCAGACAGUCGCCGGGUGCUAACGUCCGGCGGCAAGAGGGAAACAACCCAGACCUACAGCUAAGGUCCCAAAGUGUGGCUAAGUGGGAAACGAAGUGGGAAGGCUAAAACAGUCAGGAUGUUGGCUUAGAAGCAGCCAUCAUUUAAAGAAAGCGUAAUAGCUCACUGAUCGAGUCGUCCUGCGCGGAAGAUGUAACGGGGCUAAGCCAUGCACCGAAGCUUAGGCUGCACUCUCUGAGUGCGGGGUAGGGGAGCGUUCUGUAAGCCUGUGAAGGUGUCUCGUAAGGGAUGCUGGAGGUAUCAGAAGUGCGAAUGCUGACAUGAGUAGCGUUAAAGCGGGUGAAAAGCCCGCUCGCCGUAAGCGCAAGGUUUCCUACGCAACGUUCAUCGGCGUAGGGUGAGUCGGCCCCUAAGGUGAGGGCGAAAGCCAUAGCUGAUGGGAAGCUGGUUAAUAUUCCAGCACCGAUUUCUAGUGCGAUGGGGGGACGGAUCGUGGAAGGUUGUCCGGGUGUUGGAAGUCCCGGUUCCUGACCUGUAGGUGUCUGGUAGGUAAAUCCGCCAGGCGUAUGCCGAGGGGUUGGGACGAGCGAGCUUGCUCGCGAAGCAACUGGAAGUGGUUCCAAGAAAAGCCUCUAAGCUUCAGCUAGAAACGACCGUACCGCAAACCAACACUGGUGCGCGAGAUGAGUAUUCUCAGGCGCUUGAGAGAACUCGGGAGAAGGAACUCGGCAAAUUGACACCGUAACUUCGGAAGAAGGUGUGCCUUGGUAGCUUGAGUGUGAACAACACAAGGGCAAAGAGGUUGCAAAGAAUAGGUGGCUGCGACUGUUUAUUAAAAACACAGCACUCUGCAAACACGAAAGUGGACGUAUAGGGUGUGACGCCUGCCCGGUGCCGGAAGGUUAAGUGAUGGGGUGCAAGCUCUUGAUCGAAGCCCCGGUAAACGGCGGCCGUAACUAUAACGGUCCUAAGGUAGCGAAAUUCCUUGUCGGGUAAGUUCCGACCUGCACGAAUGGCAUAAUGAUGGC
Molecule: ribosomal RNA, 1957 nt
Filed under: human oral metagenome
Description: bacterial LSU rRNA
Rfam family: Bacterial large subunit ribosomal RNA
Source: RNAcentral